This 464-nucleotide ribosomal RNA is filed under the name Vreelandella stevensii. RNAcentral describes it as "partial 16S ribosomal RNA". It matches the Rfam family "Bacterial small subunit ribosomal RNA", at positions 338 to 794 of the family's 1533-position model. The record is from RNAcentral. Lineage: Bacteria; Pseudomonadati; Pseudomonadota; Gammaproteobacteria; Oceanospirillales; Halomonadaceae.
CCUACGGGUGGCUGCAGUGGGGAAUAUUGGACAAUGGGCGAAAGCCUGAUCCAGCCAUGCCGCGUGUGUGAAGAAGGCCUUCGGGUUGUAAAGCACUUUCAGUGGGGAAGAAAGCCUUGGGGCUAAUACCCUCGAGGAAGGACAUCACCCACAGAAGAAGCACCGGCUAACUCCGUGCCAGCAGCCGCGGUAAUACGGAGGGUGCGAGCGUUAAUCGGAAUUACUGGGCGUAAAGCGCGCGUAGGCGGUCUGAUAAGCCGGUUGUGAAAGCCCCGGGCUCAACCUGGGAACGGCAUCCGGAACUGUCAGGCUAGAGUGCAGGAGAGGAAGGUAGAAUUCCCGGUGUAGCGGUGAAAUGCGUAGAGAUCGGGAGGAAUACCAGUGGCGAAGGCGGCCUUCUGGACUGACACUGACGCUGAGGUGCGAAAGCGUGGGUAGCAAACAGGAUUAGAUACCCGAGUAGC